This 505-nucleotide ribosomal RNA is filed under the name uncultured bacterium. RNAcentral describes it as "partial 16S ribosomal RNA". It matches the Rfam family "Bacterial small subunit ribosomal RNA", at positions 28 to 507 of the family's 1533-position model. The record is from RNAcentral.
GACGAACGCUGGCGGCGUGCCUAAUACAUGCAAGUAGAACGCACAGUUUAUACCGUAGCUUGCUACACCAUAAACUGUGAGUUGCGAACGGGUGAGUAACGCGUAGGUAACCUGCCUGGUAGCGGGGGAUAACUAUUGGAAACGAUAGCUAAUACCGCAUAAUAUUAAUUAUUGCAUGAUAAUUGAUUGGAAGAUGCAAUUGCAUCACUACCAGAUGGACCUGCGUUGUAUUAGCUAGUAGGUGAGGUAACGGCUCACCUAGGCGACGAUACAUAGCCGACCGGAGAGGGUGAUAGGCCACACUGGGACUGAGACACGGCCCAGACUCCUACGGGAGGCAGCAGUAGGGAAGCUUCGGCAAUGGACGAAAGUCUGACCGAGCAACGCCGCGUGAGGGAAGAAGGGUUUCGGAUCGUAAAGCUCGGUUGUAAGAGAAGAACGGGUGUGAGAGUGGAAAGUUCACACUGUGACGGUAUCUUACCAGAAAGGGACGGCUAACUACGUG